RNAcentral lists this ribosomal RNA (497 nucleotides) under uncultured bacterium. RNAcentral's name for it is "partial 16S ribosomal RNA". It matches the Rfam family "Bacterial small subunit ribosomal RNA", at positions 28 to 507 of the family's 1533-position model. The record is from RNAcentral.
GAUGAACGCUGGCGGCGUGCCUAAUACAUGCAAGUCGAGCGAACAGACGAGGAGCUUGCUCCUCUGACGUUAGCGGCGGACGGGUGAGUAACACGUGGAUAACCUACCUAUAAGACUGGGAUAACUUCGGGAAACCGGAGCUAAUACCGGAUAAUAUAUUGAACCGCAUGGUUCAAUAGUGAAAGACGGUUUUGCUGUCACUUAUAGAUGGAUCCGCGCCGCAUUAGCUAGUUGGUAAGGUAACGGCUUACCAAGGCGACGAUGCGUAGCCGACCUGAGAGGGUGAUCGGCCACACUGGAACUGAGACACGGUCCAGACUCCUACGGGAGGCAGCAGUAGGGAAUCUUCCGCAAUGGGCGAAAGCCUGACGGAGCAACGCCGCGUGAGUGAUGAAGGUCUUCGGAUCGUAAAACUCUGUUAUUAGGGAAGAACAAAUGUGUAAGUAACUAUGCACGUCUUGACGGGACCUAAUCAGAAAGCCACGGCUAACUACGUG